GGGUGAGUAACACGUGGGCAACCUGCCUCAAAGAGGGGAAUAGCCCUCCGAAAGGAGGAUUAAUACCGCAUAAAGUUAGAGUUUCGCAUGAAACUUUAACCAAAGGAGUAAUCUGCUUUGAGAUGGGCCCGCGUCCAUUAGCUAGUUGGUAAGGUAAUGGUUACCAAGGCAACGAUGGGUAGCCGACCUGAGAGGGUGAUCGGCCACAUUGGAACUGAGACACGGUCCAGACUCCUACGGGAGGCAGCAGUGGGGAAUAUUGCGCAAUGGGGGAAACCCUGACGCAGCAACGCCGCGUGGGUGAUGAAGGUUUUCGGA
This 318-nucleotide ribosomal RNA is filed under the name Clostridium cochlearium. Its description in RNAcentral is "bacterial SSU rRNA". It matches the Rfam family "Bacterial small subunit ribosomal RNA", at positions 104 to 422 of the family's 1533-position model. The record is from RNAcentral. Lineage: Bacteria; Bacillati; Bacillota; Clostridia; Eubacteriales; Clostridiaceae.